RNAcentral lists this ribosomal RNA (407 nucleotides) under uncultured bacterium. RNAcentral's name for it is "partial 16S ribosomal RNA". It matches the Rfam family "Bacterial small subunit ribosomal RNA", at positions 28 to 526 of the family's 1533-position model. The record is from RNAcentral.
GACGAACGCUGGCGGCGUGCCUAAUACAUGCAAGUAGAACGCAGUUGCGAACGGGUGAGUAACGCGUAGGUAACUGCCUCAUAGCGGGGGAUAACUAUUUGAAACGAUAGCUAAUACCGCCUACUGUGAGAUGGACCUGCGUUGUAUUUGGUAGUUGGUGAGGUAAAGGCUCACCAAGGCGACGAUACAUAGCCGACCUGAGAGGGUGGUCGGCCACACUGGGACUGGGGCAAGGCCCAGGAUCCUUCGGGAGGCAGCAAGAGGGAAACUUCGGAAAAGGGCGGAAGUCUGGACGAGCAACGGCGCGGGAGAUAAGGAGGUUUUCGGGUCGUAAAGCUCUGUUGUUCGAGAAGCGUUAACUAACCAGAAAGGGCCGGCUAACUACGUGCCAGCAGCCGCGGUAAUAC